This 433-nucleotide ribosomal RNA is filed under the name uncultured bacterium. RNAcentral's name for it is "partial 16S ribosomal RNA". It matches the Rfam family "Bacterial small subunit ribosomal RNA", at positions 29 to 507 of the family's 1533-position model. The record is from RNAcentral.
AACGAACGCUGGCGGCAUGCCUAACACAUGCAAGUCGAACGAGACCUUCGGGUCUAGUGGCGUACGGGUGCGUAACGCGUGGGAACCUGCCCUUAGGUUCGGAAUAACUCUCCGAAAGGGGUGCUAACAGCGGAUAAUGUCUUCGGCCCAAAGAUUUAUCGCCUUUGGAUGGGCCCGCGUUGGAUUAGCUAGUUGGUAGGGUAAAAGCCUACCAAGGCGACGAUCCAUAGCUGGUCUGAGAGGAUGAUCAGCCACACUGGGACUGAGACACGGCCCAGACUCCUACGGGAGGCAGCAGUGGGGAAUAUUGGACAAUGGGCGAAAGCCUGAUCCAGCAAUGCCGCGUGAGUGAUGAAGGCCUUAGGGUUGUAAAGCUCUUUUACCCGGGAUGAUAAUGACAGUACCGGGAGAAUAAGCUCCGGCUAACUCCGUG